AUUGAACGCUGGCGGCAUGCCUUACACAUGCAAGUCGAACGGUAACGCGGGGCAACCUGGCGACGAGUGGCGAACGGGUGAGUAAUAUAUCGGAACGUGCCCAAUAGUGGGGGAUAGCCCGGCGAAAGCCGGAUUAAUACCGCAUACGACCUGAGGGUGAAAGCGGGGGAUCGCAAGACCUCGCGCUAUUGGAGCGGCCGAUAUCAGAUUAGGUAGUUGGUGGGGUAAAAGCCUACCAAGCCUACGAUCUGUAGCUGGUCUGAGAGGACGACCAGCCACACUGGGACUGAGACACGGCCCCAGACUCCUACGGGAGGCAGCAGUGGGGAAUUUUUGGACAAUGGGGGAACCCUGAUCCAGCCAUUCCGCGUGAGUGAAGAAGGCCUUCGGGUUGUAAGACGUCUUUC
This 407-nucleotide ribosomal RNA is filed under the name uncultured bacterium. RNAcentral's name for it is "bacterial SSU rRNA". It matches the Rfam family "Bacterial small subunit ribosomal RNA", at positions 30 to 437 of the family's 1533-position model. The record is from RNAcentral.